UGUGGUGGCGAUAGCAAGAAGGAUACACCUGUUCCCAUGCCGAACACAGUAGUUAAGCUUCUUAGCGCCGAUGGUAGUUGGGGG
This 84-nucleotide ribosomal RNA is filed under the name Vagococcus allomyrinae. Lineage: Bacteria; Bacillati; Bacillota; Bacilli; Lactobacillales; Enterococcaceae. The record is from RNAcentral.